GUGGAUCCUGAGUACGACGGAGCACGUGAAAUUCCGUCGGAAUCUGGGAGGACCAUCUCCUAAGGCUAAAUACUCUCUAGUGACCGAUAGUGAACCAGUACCGUGAGGGAAAGGUGAAAAGCACCCCGGAAGGGGAGUGAAAUAGAACCUGAAACCGUGUGCUUACAAGUAGUCAGAGCCCGUUAAUGGGUGAUGGCGUGCCUUUUGUAGAAUGAACCGGCGAGUUACGAUUUGAUGCAAGGUUAAGCAGUAAAUGUGGAGCCGUAGCGAAAGCGAGUCUGAAUAGGGCGUUUAGUAUUUGGUCGUAGACCCGAAACCAGGUGAUCUACCCUUGGUCAGGUUGAAGUUCAGGUAACACUGAAUGGAGGACCGAACCGACUUACGUUGAAAAGUGAGCGGAUGAACUGAGGGUAGCGGAGAAAUUCCAAUCGAACCUGGAGAUAGCUGGUUCUCUCCGAAAUAGCUUUAGGGCUAGCCUCAAGUGAUGAUUAUUGGAGGUAGAGCACUGUUUGGACGAGGGGCCCCUCUCGGGUUACCGAAUUCAGACAAACUCCGAAUGCCAAUUAAUUUAACUUGGGAGUCAGAACAUGGGUGAUAAGGUCCGUGUUCGAAAGGGAAACAGCCCAGACCACCAGCUAAGGUCCCAAAAUAUAUGUUAAGUGGAAAAGGAUGUGGCGUUGCCCAGACAACUAGGAUGUUGGCUUAGAAGCAGCCAUCAUUUAAAGAGUGCGUAAUAGCUCACUAGUCGAGUGACACUGCGCCGAAAAUGUACCGGGGCUAAACAUAUUACCGAAGCUGUGGAUUGUCCUUUGGACAAUGGUAGGAGAGCGUUCUAAGGGCGUUGAAGCAUGAUCGUAAGGACAUGUGGAGCGCUUAGAAGUGAGAAUGCCGGUGUGAGUAGCGAAAGACGGGUGAGAAUCCCGUCCACCGAUUGACUAAGGUUUCCAGAGGAAGGCUCGUCCGCUCUGGGUUAGUCGGGUCCUAAGCUGAGGCCGACAGGCGUAGGCGAUGGAUAACAGGUUGAUAUUCCUGUACCACCUAUA
Molecule: ribosomal RNA, 1043 nt
Filed under: Staphylococcus aureus
Lineage: Bacteria; Bacillati; Bacillota; Bacilli; Caryophanales; Staphylococcaceae
Description: partial 23S ribosomal RNA
Rfam family: Bacterial large subunit ribosomal RNA
Source: RNAcentral